RNAcentral lists this ribosomal RNA (318 nucleotides) under Chaetoceros curvisetus. Its description in RNAcentral is "partial Bacterial large subunit ribosomal RNA". It matches the Rfam family "Bacterial large subunit ribosomal RNA", at positions 160 to 518 of the family's 2925-position model. The record is from RNAcentral. Lineage: Eukaryota; Bacillariophyta; Thalassiosirophyceae; Chaetocerotales; Chaetocerotaceae.
AAAUACAUAGCGUAUGGAGGCGAAUGUUCUGAACUGAAACAUCUAAGUAGGAACAAGAAAAGAAAGAAAACUCGAUUCUCCAAGUAGCGGCGAGCGAACAGAGAACAGCCCAUUAAAGUAAGACUAAACUGAUAGACAAAUCUUAUGGAAAGAAGAACCAAAGAAAGUAACAGUCUUGUAGUCGAAAUCAGAAUAGAGACACUUUAAGAAGAGUACCACGGAGCACGUGAAAUUCUGUGGGAAGAUAGGGGGACCACCCCCUAAGGCUAAAUACUACCUGGUGACCGAUAGCGAAUAGUACCGUGAGGGAAAGGUGAA